AGUGAACGCUGGCGGUAGGCCUAACACAUGCCAGUCGAACGGCAGCACAGUAAGAGCUUGCUCUUACGGGUGGCGAGUGGCGGACGGGUGAGGAAUACAUCGGAAUCUACUUUUUCGUGGGGGAUAACGUAGGGAAACUUACGCUAAUAACGCAUACGACCUACGGGUGAAAGCAGGGGAUCUUCGGACCUUGCGCGAUUGAAUGAGCCGAUGUCGGAUUAGCUAGUUGGCGGGGUAAAGGCCCACCAAGGCGACGAUCCGUAGCUGGUCUGAGAGGAUGAUCAGCCAGACUGGAACUGAGACACGGUCCAGACUCCGACGGGAGGCAGCAGUGGGGAAUAUUGGACAAUGGGGGCAAGCCUGAUCCAGCCAUACCGCGUGGGUGAAGAAGGCCUUCGGGUUGUAAAGCCCUUUUGUUGGGAAAGAAAAGCAGCAGGUUAAUACCCCGCUGUUCUGACGGUACCCAAAGAAUAAGCACCGGCUAACUUCGUG
Molecule: ribosomal RNA, 492 nt
Filed under: uncultured bacterium
Lineage: Bacteria
Description: partial 16S ribosomal RNA
Rfam family: Bacterial small subunit ribosomal RNA
Source: RNAcentral